UGGGGUGUAGCUCAGUGGUAGAGCCCUUACCUAGAAUGUAGGAAGUCCUGGGAUUGAUCCCUAGCACUGCAU
RNAcentral lists this transfer RNA (72 nucleotides) under Marmota monax (woodchuck). It matches the Rfam family "tRNA". Rfam says of the family: Transfer RNA (tRNA) molecules are approximately 80 nucleotides in length. Lineage: Eukaryota; Metazoa; Chordata; Mammalia; Rodentia; Sciuridae. The record is from Rfam by way of RNAcentral.